This 423-nucleotide ribosomal RNA is filed under the name Triticum aestivum (bread wheat). Its description in RNAcentral is "partial small subunit ribosomal RNA". The record is from RNAcentral. Lineage: Eukaryota; Viridiplantae; Streptophyta; Magnoliopsida; Poales; Poaceae.
AUGAAAAGACUACAGCGCGAGAUGCAGCCGGCGAAGGUGAAGCCGGCGCCGGAGCCCAGGACCAAGGGCGCCGCGGCGCCUGCGCGGGCGCUGGCGGCGGAGGCCUUCACGGCGCGCGAGCUCGACGCGGCGGAGCAGCUCAUCCAUCUCAGCGAGAGCAGCGCGUCCUCGGGCACCACGCGCGCCCACCCCGUCGCCUACGCCGCGGCCUCGGGCGGCUCCUCCCGGCGCUCCGUCAACGGCCUGCAGGCGCCGGCGUCGGGCGCGGUUUUCCUUGGCGGUUGCGCGAACCGGGAGGAAGAUGAGGAGCAGGAGGUCGCCGGGAGCCAGCGGAGGGGGAAGCGGUACCGCCUGAUCGCCGAGAUCUACGCCGCGACGGAGGAAAUCGGAGGCCGCAGCGGCCGGAAGAACAGAAAGGAUUAG